Molecule: transfer RNA, 84 nt
Filed under: Salmo salar (Atlantic salmon)
Lineage: Eukaryota; Metazoa; Chordata; Actinopteri; Salmoniformes; Salmonidae
Rfam family: tRNA
About the family: Transfer RNA (tRNA) molecules are approximately 80 nucleotides in length. Their secondary structure includes four short double-helical elements and three loops (D, anti-codon, and T loops). Further hydrogen bonds mediate the characteristic L-shaped molecular structure. tRNAs have two regions of fundamental functional importance: the anti-codon, which is responsible for specific mRNA codon recognition, and the 3' end, to which the tRNAs corresponding amino acid is attached (by aminoacyl-tRNA synthetases). tRNAs cope with the degeneracy of the genetic code in two manners: having more than one tRNA (with a specific anti-codon) for a particular amino acid; and 'wobble' base-pairing, i.e. permitting non-standard base-pairing at the 3rd anti-codon position.
Source: Rfam by way of RNAcentral
CUCCCUGUGGCUCAGUUGGUAGAGCAUGGUGUCUGCAAUGGUGUUUGCAACGCCAGGGUUGUGGGUUCGAUUCCCACAGGGGGC